UUUCUUGCGCCGGCCUUCUACCCGAGCAGUGGAGAGAGAGGGCCCACUCAUCCCCCAACCGCCGUUGCUCCUGCAACGCCGUUCACGUCGCGGGAUCUCUCCCUCGCGGCUCUUCCGGCGCCGUAGAGGCCAGUCCACCUCCGUGGCCACUUCGGCUCUUCCGCCAGUGGCAACCAACCCGAGGAUCGUCGACACCGUCCACCUACUGCUCGAUAUCAAGAUGAUCAUCAAGAAGACGGCCUUCGUCGCCAAGAACAGCCCGAGUUCGAGAUGCGCGUCCGUGCCAGCAAAGCCAGCGACUCGAAGUUCACCUUCCACAUCAUUCCCUCCGACCCCUGCGACGCCUACUGCAAGCAGCGUGUCUCUGAGUUCCGCUCCUUCAUCAGACCUUUGACUGCUAUAUUCCACUAAUUAAGUUCGUUUCCCGAUUAUGUAUAUUAUAUUGUUUGUCAUUG
This 455-nucleotide long non-coding RNA is filed under the name Phoenix dactylifera (date palm). RNAcentral describes it as "long non-coding RNA (PDAC_LNC005258)". The record is from RNAcentral. Lineage: Eukaryota; Viridiplantae; Streptophyta; Magnoliopsida; Arecales; Arecaceae.